RNAcentral lists this ribosomal RNA (253 nucleotides) under uncultured bacterium. RNAcentral describes it as "partial 16S ribosomal RNA". It matches the Rfam family "Bacterial small subunit ribosomal RNA", at positions 524 to 776 of the family's 1533-position model. The record is from RNAcentral.
UACGUAGGGCGCAAGCGUUGUCCGGAAUUAUUGGGCGUAAAGAGCUCGUAGGCGGCUUGUCACGUCGGGUGUGAAAGCCCGGGGCUUAACCCCGGGUCUGCAUUCGAUACGGGCAGGCUAGAGUGUGGUAGGGGAGAUCGGAAUUCCUGGUGUAGCGGUGAAAUGCGCAGAUAUCAGGAGGAACACCGGUGGCGAAGGCGGAUCUCUGGGCCAUUACUGACGCUGAGGCACGAAGGCCAGGGGAGCAAACGGG